Molecule: small RNA, 25 nt
Filed under: Arabidopsis thaliana (thale cress)
Lineage: Eukaryota; Viridiplantae; Streptophyta; Magnoliopsida; Brassicales; Brassicaceae
Description: ATSL080140
Source: RNAcentral
ACCGUUUCUUUCUCAAGAUCAUGAA